CAAUAGCGUAUAUUAAAGUUGUUGCAGUUAAAAAGCUCGUAGUUGAAUUUCGGGUCCCCGCGCUCGGCGCUUCAUUGUGCCGUCGUGGUGUCCCUCCUCGCCGUAAGGCGUCCUUUACUGUGAAAAAAUUAGAGUGUUCAAAGCAGGCAAUCGCUUGAAUACAUUAGCAUGGAAUAAUAAGAUAGGAUCUUGUCUAUUUUGUUGGUUGCGGACAACGAUAAUGAUUAAUAGGGAUAGUUGGGGGUGUCCGUAUUGAGCUGUCAGAGGUGAAAUUCUUGGAUUUGCUCAAGACGAACUACUGCGAAAGCAUUCACCAAGGAUGUUUUCAUUNA
This 332-nucleotide ribosomal RNA is filed under the name uncultured eukaryote. RNAcentral describes it as "partial 18S ribosomal RNA". It matches the Rfam family "Eukaryotic small subunit ribosomal RNA", at positions 592 to 976 of the family's 1831-position model. The record is from RNAcentral.